Molecule: ribosomal RNA, 253 nt
Filed under: uncultured bacterium
Lineage: Bacteria
Description: partial 16S ribosomal RNA
Rfam family: Bacterial small subunit ribosomal RNA
Source: RNAcentral
UACGUAGGAGCAAGCGUUGUUCGGAUUUACUGGGCGUAAAGGGCGCGUAGGCGGCAAAUUAAGUCAGCUGUGAAAUCUCCGAGCUUAACUCGGAACGGUCAGCUGAUACUGAUCUGCUAGAGUGCGGAAGGGGCAAUCGGAAUUCUUGGUGUAGCGGUGAAAUGCGUAGAUAUCAAGAGGAACACCUGAGGUGAAGACGGGUUGCUGGGCCGACACUGACGCUGAGUGCGCGAAAGCCAGGGGAGCAAACGGG